RNAcentral lists this unclassified non-coding RNA (240 nucleotides) under soil metagenome. RNAcentral describes it as "partial contains 5.8S ribosomal RNA, internal transcribed spacer 2, and large subunit ribosomal RNA". The record is from RNAcentral.
AACACUGUUAACCUGCGGUACCUGCGGAGGGAUCAUUACCGAGUUUACAACUCCCAAACCCAAUGUGAACCAUACCAAACUGUUGCCUCGGCGGGGUCACGCCCCGGGUGCGUCGCAGCCCCGGAACCAGGCGCCCGCCGGAGGGACCAACCAAACUCUUUACUGUAGUCCCCUCGCGGACGUUAUUUCUUACAGCUCUGAGCAAAAAUUCAAAAUGAAUCAAAACUUUUAGCAACGGAU